Molecule: ribosomal RNA, 489 nt
Filed under: uncultured bacterium
Lineage: Bacteria
Description: partial 16S ribosomal RNA
Rfam family: Bacterial small subunit ribosomal RNA
Source: RNAcentral
AUUGAACGCUGGCGGCAUGCCUUACACAUGCAAGUCGAACGGCAGCAUGAUCUAGCUUGCUAGAUUGAUGGCGAGUGGCGAACGGGUGAGUAAUACAUCGGAACGUGCCCUGUAGUGGGGGAUAACUAGUCGAAAGAUUAGCUAAUACCGCAUACGACCUGAGGGUGAAAGUGGGGGACCGCAAGGCCUCAUGCUAUAGGAGCGGCCGAUGUCUGAUUAGCUAGUUGGUGAGGUAAAGGCUCACCAAGGCGACGAUCAGUAGCUGGUCUGAGAGGACGAUCAGCCACACUGGGACUGAGACACGGCCCAGACUCCUACGGGAGGCAGCAGUGGGGAAUUUUGGACAAUGGGCGAAAGCCUGAUCCAGCAAUGCCGCGUGUGUGAAGAAGGCCUUCGGGUUGUAAAGCACUUUUGUCCGGAAAGAAAUGGCUCUGGUUAAUACCUGGGGUCGAUGACGGGACCGGAAGAAUAAGGACCGGCUAACUACGU